RNAcentral lists this ribosomal RNA (253 nucleotides) under uncultured bacterium. RNAcentral describes it as "partial 16S ribosomal RNA". It matches the Rfam family "Bacterial small subunit ribosomal RNA", at positions 524 to 776 of the family's 1533-position model. The record is from RNAcentral.
UACGUAGGAUGCGAGCGUUAAUCGGAAUUACUGGGCGUAAAGCGUGCGCAGGCGGCUUUGCAAGACAGAUGUGAAAUCCCCGGGCUUAACCUGGGAACUGCAUUUGUGACUGCAUGGCUGGAGUGCGGCAGAGGGGGAUGGAAUUCCGCGUGUAGCAGUGAAAUGCGUAGAUAUCUGGAGGAACACCGGUGGCGAAGGCGGCAUCCUGGACCGGCAUUGACGCUGAGGCGCGAAAGCCAGGGGAGCAAACGGG